This is a non-coding RNA of Sebastes umbrosus (honeycomb rockfish), 682 nucleotides long. The record is from the annotation of a RefSeq genome assembly. NCBI's taxonomy places the organism in Eukaryota, Metazoa, Chordata, Actinopteri, Perciformes, Sebastidae.
AUGAGGCUGAUGUGUUUCUUUAUUACCAAGCCUUCACUCUCAUUGCUUUGUCUUUUCUCCCCCUCUCCUCCCCCUCUCUCUCCUCCAGUGGGUGUGGUGCAGCCCACCCUGACCGUCCUCCCCCCCUCCAGAGAGGAGCUGAAGCAGGGCAGUGCCACACUGGUGUGUCUGGCCAGCGGGGGCUUCCCCUCAGCCUGGACGCUGGGCUGGAAGGUGGGGUGCAGCAGCAGCUCCUCAGGGGCGUCACACAGCCUGGAGGUCCUGGGGAGGGACGGCCACUACAGCUGGAGCAGCACCCUGAGCCUCCUUGCAGACCAGUGGAGGAAGGCGGGCUCAGUGAGCUGUGAGGCCAGUCUGAGUGGACAGAGGCCUGUCACUCAAAGCCUGGAGCCUGACCGCUGCUCAGAGUAGAGCUUCAGCAACACUUCCUGUCUGCAAAUGAUGCCGCUUCUUUGACAGAGAUCUGGAUGAAGCUCCAGAUCUCCUCUGUUCACAUGUUUCUGCAUGUUUCACAGCUCUCUACUCAGUGUUUUACUCUGCAUGUUGCUUUCUAAUACUCAUCUUCUGCAUGUUCUUCUUUAUGUUCAUUAAAUGAUUUUCACUCAAAGAGAAACUAUUCAUUCAUCAGAAAUGUGGCAUGAACAUUAAACCAUCAUUAAAUAAAACUGUGGAUUAUAAUAAA